UACGUAGGGACCGAGCGUUGUCCGGAAUUACUGGGCGUAAAGCGCGCGUAGGUGGCUUGAUAAGCUGGUUGUGAAAGCCCCGGGCUCAACCUGGGAACGGCAUCCGGAACUGUCAAGCUAGAGUGCAGGAGAGGAAGGUAUAAUUCCCGGUGUAGCGGUGAAAUGCGUAGAGAUCGGGAGGAAUACCAGUGGCGAAGGCGGCCUUCUGGACUGACACUGACACUGAGGCGCGAAAGCGUGGGGAGCAAACAGG
Molecule: unclassified non-coding RNA, 253 nt
Filed under: uncultured Halomonadaceae bacterium
Lineage: Bacteria; Pseudomonadati; Pseudomonadota; Gammaproteobacteria; Oceanospirillales; Halomonadaceae
Description: contains 16S-23S intergenic spacer region
Rfam family: Bacterial small subunit ribosomal RNA
Source: RNAcentral